This 408-nucleotide ribosomal RNA is filed under the name uncultured bacterium. Its description in RNAcentral is "partial 16S ribosomal RNA". It matches the Rfam family "Bacterial small subunit ribosomal RNA", at positions 28 to 526 of the family's 1533-position model. The record is from RNAcentral.
GACGAACGCUGGCGGCGUGCUUAACACAUGCAAGUCGAACGAAGUGGCGAACGGGUGAGUAAUACGUGGGUAACCUGCCCUCCUUUUUGGGAUAAGCCUUGGAAACGGGGUCUAAUACCGAAUAAAGGGGGAUGGGCUCGCGGCGUAUCAGCUUGUUGGUGGGGUUAGGGCCUACCAAGGCGGUGACGGGUAGCCGGCCUGAGAGGGUGACAGGCAGGAUUGGGAAUGAGAUAGGGCCCAGACUCCUACGGGAGGGGGCAGUGGGGGAUAUGGCACAAUGGACGACAGCCUGAUGCGGCUGCGCCGCGUGGGGGAUGAAGGCUUACGGGUUUUAAACCUCUGUCGCUAUAGAACGGGUAGGUGGAGAAGAAGCGCCGGCUAACUACGUGCCAGCCGCCGCGGUAAUAC